This 405-nucleotide unclassified non-coding RNA is filed under the name fungal sp. RNAcentral's name for it is "partial internal transcribed spacer region". The stretch from base 1 to 46 matches the Rfam family "Eukaryotic small subunit ribosomal RNA", at positions 1786 to 1831 of the family's 1831-position model. Lineage: Eukaryota; Fungi. The record is from RNAcentral.
AAGUCGUAACAAGGUUUCCGUAGGUGAACCUGCGGAAGGAUCAUUAACACGUAUCCAACGUUAAACCCCCCUGUGAACCUUCAGAGAGCUCUUGCAUACCGUACGGAACAGCAAUCCUGGUAAAUCAGUGCACUUGCUAUGUGACGAGGCCCGGUUUAACUUGGUCGUCAGGUAGGGGGGCUCAAGGCCCUGCAGGUCUGUCCGCCGGCCCGUGGUGAGCCUCUAGCGAUCGUAAUGUUAACCUCGAAACCGUACAGCGACACUUUAAUCCGCCCGGCCAGGUCUCCAGACCCACUGCGUAUGCGCUCAAUUGAAGUCCUGGACAGAGGUCCUGAAUCAAAAACGACUUUCGCCGCCGUGAUGGAGGAAAACGUACAACUGUUAACAAUGGAUAUCUUGGUUCUC